GUGAACGCUGGCGGUAGGCCUAACACAUGCAAGUCGAACGGCAGCACGGUAAGAGCUUGCUCUUACGGGUGGCGAGUGGCGGACGGGUGAGGAAUACAUCGGAAUCUACUUUUUCGUGGGGGAUAACGUAGGGAAACUUACGCUAAUACCGCAUACGACCUACGGGUGAAAGCAGGGGAUCUUCGGACCUUGCGCGAUUGAAUGAGCCGAUGUCGGAUUAGCUAGUUGGCGGGGUAAAGGCCCACCAAGGCGACGAUCCGUAGCUGGUCUGAGAGGAUGAUCAGCCACACUGGAACUGAGACACGGUCCAGACUCCUACGGGAGGCAGCAGUGGGGAAUAUUGGACAAUGGGCGCAAGCCUGAUCCAGCCAUACCGCGUGGGUGAAGAAGGCCUUCGGGUUGUAAAGCCCUUUUGUUGGGAAAGAAAAGCAGCAGGUUAAUACCCCGCUGUUCUGACGGUACCCAAAGAAUAAGCACCGGCUAACUUCGUG
This 491-nucleotide ribosomal RNA is filed under the name uncultured bacterium. RNAcentral's name for it is "partial 16S ribosomal RNA". It matches the Rfam family "Bacterial small subunit ribosomal RNA", at positions 29 to 507 of the family's 1533-position model. The record is from RNAcentral.